CCGAUGACACCUAGCAGGCUGGUCACGGCUGGAUGCUCUAGCUGGCGGUGACGAGACUUCACUCGAGCUGGCCGGACCUCAUCCUGGGCGUUGGAGGUGGGAAGGCGAGAUCCAAAAAACGUCCUACGCACGUAGAGGCCCACGAACGGGGUGUCACGGGACGCGGGUUCGAUUCCCGCCGCCUCCA
This 187-nucleotide small RNA is filed under the name Chloropicon laureae. RNAcentral describes it as "partial transfer-messenger RNA". It matches the Rfam family "transfer-messenger RNA", at positions 180 to 371 of the family's 374-position model. Rfam says of the family: Bacterial tmRNA, also known as 10Sa RNA or SsrA, is named for its dual tRNA and mRNA-like properties. Its role is to liberate the mRNA from a stalled ribosome. To accomplish this part of the tmRNA is used as a reading frame that ends in a translation stop signal. Lineage: Eukaryota; Viridiplantae; Chlorophyta; Chloropicophyceae; Chloropicales; Chloropicaceae. The record is from RNAcentral.